AAUAUGCCCAGGAAGGCCACAAUUAUGGCAUAUUGCCACAUUCGGGCACUCUCUAGCAAAAUGUCCAGGUCGUUUGCAGUUCUUGCACAGAUUGCUUUGGCUGCUAAAAAAAGCAAGACAACCUCAAUAUUAAGCAUAAUAUAACAAAAAGCAAGAGCAUUGAAUAAAUAGAACUUACUGGAAAAUCAAUAAUGUUUAAAGCAGGCGUGAAGAAAGGGGGGAAGGAGAGAAAAACAUAACUAAUGAAAAUUCUUCACUUUAUAAUUCUACCAUGCCAUUGACAUUGUUCAGAUCAGCCUUCUUCCACGCGCAUGCGCACACAAAAAAAAAGAACUACCAAGAUUUUCCUCUUUUUCUUUUGGUGCUACUUGAUGCCACAUAAAAACAAGAAACUGGCUAUCCCACUAAGUAAUAUAUUAAGAAACCAAGUAAAGAACUGACAAGAAAACCAAUUAGAUCACCUCCCAUUUGUAAAUAAAAGCAAAUGUUCAUCCGCAUUCAAAGCAGCACAUGUUUCUGCUGCACUGUUCCAAAACAGAUACUACCAAAAUUUUUAGGAAGCAAUACCACAAAUGACUAUCCUGAUAAAACUGACUAGUCAUGUUAAAGCUAUAUGGGUAAACCUCAGUGAUUUAUAUCAUCCAACCUACUUCAUUUUGCAUGCGAUUGAUUAUACAGAUUCACAGGUUUUAAGAAUGAAAAGAUUCCCCAUCACAUCAUCAAGAAUUCUCACUCAACAUGAACAACACAAUUAUCAAACACAGCAAAAAAUCUCUAGAAGCAAAUUCAAAUUCUAAUACUUUUGUUUGGUCUUGUGAGCCACUUGUAAGGCACAUACAAAGGAAAGUAUACUAAGUGAUCAAAAAUCAGAAAACCUGAAACCCCGACGCGACUCUCGUCUGUAAGGUGCACCACGAUAGGAAAAGCGAUCAGAGCGGAUCUUACGAUCCAUUGGGCUCCUGCUCCUGCUUCUGCUGUCUGAACUCAUGCUCAAAAUUACUCUUAAUUACCAACUACCUCCACUGAUCAGCAAAAACAUCAAACCAUCACCAAUACCACACCAGCUGCUGCCUCCUCCCUCACGAAAAAGCAAAUGGCAACGCGAUUUGGACUAGGGCAGAAAUUAAGGGUUUCUGGACUCCUUCAGUUGAAUUACAACAGCCAGAUUGACAAAAAUAGCUUCACAGUGAAGAAGGAACGUGAUGGCGGUGAACGAGAGACGUCGGCAGUGGCUUUAAGUCCGGCAACGGAAGAUUUAGGGUUUGUAAGAGCAGAUCGUGAAUGUAUUUAGCUAUUGUCUGUCACUGUACCCGAUUGAAUCAAGCCACAAAACAUCUAA
RNAcentral lists this unclassified non-coding RNA (1339 nucleotides) under Hevea brasiliensis (rubber tree). Lineage: Eukaryota; Viridiplantae; Streptophyta; Magnoliopsida; Malpighiales; Euphorbiaceae. The record is from RNAcentral.